Molecule: long non-coding RNA, 4142 nt
Organism: Patella vulgata (common limpet)
Lineage: Eukaryota; Metazoa; Mollusca; Gastropoda; Patellidae
Exons: 2
Source: RefSeq, a predicted model, not a curated record
UUCAAACAUAAUGGCGUAGAGAGGUCAUAUUAUCGUCGCUGUGAUUUUACUAAGUUUUUUUUUUCAAUUGGAAAUAGACAUAAAUAAGACACCAGUGUCUAGUUUAUUGAAGUGAAUUUAUCAGUUAAUGUAAAACUCCAGAAAGCGGUAAUCGGUUUACAUUUGAUGUUGUUUGAAUGUAUGAUAGCUGUACUUCCACCAGCUUAAACAAUGGCGACACAGACCAAAACAACACCAGAACUAUGUGAACAAGAUAUUCUAAAAGGUGAUGGUAGUCAAUCGUGGCAGGAAUUCUUAAACGGUACACCGCAACCCUGUCCUCAACACAAAGAUGAUGUGAAGAAUUAUUAUUGCAAAGAAUGUUCGGUAGCGAUUUGCUCGCAUUGUUUCAUUGCUGACCAUAAUGGGCAUUCAAACGUGAACAGAGCGGAUAUUCUACAGAUAGUGAAAGAUAAUCUAAAUCUGUUAAAUCAGAAUUUAGAAGAAGAAAUAAUGAAAUUAGAGACUUAUUGUGGUUUAUUAGAAGAUAAAUUAUCCCAUGUGGAUAGUGUGAUUAAACAAAUCAGUGAUAAUAUUAAUCAACAGGUACAAAAUAUAUGUCGAGAAGUUCAGAUUGAGGGUGAUGAAAUGAAGGCGAGAAUGUUGGACAUUUUGGCUAAAUGUAAACUAAACAAACGGUUAGAAGAUACAACCGCAAUAAUUGUGGAUUUGAAAUCUACUGUUAAUGGUAAUAGUGAUGCUAUAGCAGAUAAAUAUGUUGUACCAGUUUUAGAUCAAACAACGAUAUCCCGAGAACAGAAAGAAAAAUGUCGAUCUAGAAAGUUGGAUUUGUUAUGUUUAAAUAAAGUUAUGUUUAAGGAAGGGCAGAUAGAUUCAAGAAUAAUAUCAGAACAGAUAGGUAGAUUAGAUAUUACAGAUAGUGAGGAGAGUGCUAUUAUAAAUAAUAUCAGAACAGAUAGGUAGAUUAGAUAUUACAGAUAGUGAGGUGUGUAGUGCUAUUGUAAAUAAUAUCAGAACAGAUAGGUAGAUUAGAUAUUACAGAUAGUGAUGUGUAGUGCUAUUGUAAAUAAUAUCAGAACAGAUAGGUAGAUUAGAUAUAACAGAUAGUGACGAGAGUGCUAUUAUAAAUAAUAUCAGAACAGAUAGGUAGAUUAAAUAUUACAGAUAGUGAGGUGUAGUGCUAUUGUAAAUAAUAUCAGAACAGAUAGGUAGAUUAGAUAUAACAGAUAGUGACGAGAGUGCUAUUAUAAAUAAUAUCAGAACAGAUAGGUAGAUUAGAUAUAACAGAUAGUGACGAGAGUGCUAUUAUAAAUAAUAUCAGAACAGAUAGGUAGAUUAGAUGUGUAGGAUAAAGCAUGAGACCGAGGUUAUGCUGGGGAAAGAAAGACUGAAGAAAAUAACGCGAGAAAAAGAAAAACCGAGGCCGGUUUAUAGGCACCGUAUGUUAAAGGACAAUAUUGGUGUCAGUCAUUAUCACAUAUUUGAUAGAACCGGUUAAACACAUUCCAAAUAUAUAAUUUUAACACGGAGAUCAUUGCUACGACAGGCGCGUAACUAAGAUUUGAAGACACGGAAGUGACGCAAAAAUGGAAAACAAGAGAUAGAAAGGACCCUCACAUUCCCUUGUUUUUAUUCAUUCUAUACUUAAUAAAAAAAAAGGUGGCAAUGCACGGGCUUUUCUACUUAUAAUUUCGUGACAGUCAAUUUUAUCUGAUUUUUUAAAAAAAAAGUGUGAAUAUAUCACCAUUACACCGUAAUGGUGGUUGAGUUCAAAUUUCGUACAAAACGGCCGCCCUCGUAUAACGCAAAUGGUGUAAAUAUGUGGUAUAUCAAGGUUGUAGACCCUCUAGAGGCCACAAUAUUUUUCCGAUUUUGAUGCAACAUUAAAUUUUAUGCUUAUAUCACGAAGGUCUUGGUUCCUUUCGAUAUUCGCGUUUAACUUCCCGAAUUAUGGCCCUUAGUCGUAUGAAAAAUUGCGUUUUAAGCUUGUGGUCCCUCUAGAGUUAACAAUUUUUAUCCAACGCUUAUGGUGUAAAAAUAAUUAUAGUAUAUCAAGGUUGUGCAUGACUCUCUAGAGGUCACAAUUUUCACCCGAUAAAAAAAAUAAAGGUGGCAAUGCACGGGCUUUUCUACUUAUAAUUUCGUGACAGUCAAUUUUAGUGACAGUCAAUUCAUUUUAUGAAUUGUCAGAUAUCCUCUCACAGCCUCCCGUCUUCAUUAGCCCAGUUUAGGAGCAGAACAGUAGAACGUUAAACCCCAUUUCAUUUCAUUUCCUCUCAUAGGCUCGCAUAACAAAUUUUGGUCUUCGAAGGAAUUGUUAGUGAGAAGUAAUUCGAUCGUAUAUCUGUUAUCACCGGUUACUCACCGGUUACUUCAGUCAGUUAUAUAGAAGGAUAACUCUUGUGUUCCAUUGUUUAUAUCACUUCCGUUUCUUCAAAUCUUCGUUACGCACCAUCGUAACAGAUCGCUGUGUUCAAAUUAUAUUUGGAACGUGUUUAACGAGUUCUAUCACAUAUGUGAUAAUGGCCGACAUUAGUAUUGUCCUUUAAGUCUUGUUUAGAUAAUUUAGCAUUUUACAAGGAGUAACAUAAGUAACUAUCUUUCCGCAAACUUGAUGUAAAAAUUUAUAAAGAAGUUUGUCUUUAUAAGAAUUAAAAGUUUAGUUUAUCCAGGGAAUCAUAUACAUGAAAUAUAAAUGAAAAACUCGUGGAAACAUAUUUGUCGGGGCUUAGAUGUUGUUGUCACAAACUAGUAUUGAAACAGGCAUGUGUCGGAAUCUUGACAGACACGAAGGACUAUGUUUAUAUUGUAGUAUGUGCUGUUAUAGUAGGUCCACUUUAUUCUAGACUUAGAGAUAUGAAACAGAAGCCCCAUGAUUAUAUUAAAAGAUAUAUGGACCUAAUAAAUAUCACAACUAUUCAUUUAGCUCAGUGGUUCUCAACCUUUUUUUUGCCAACGGCACUCCUUGGAACAUAUGAAAAAAUAGCGGCACACCUGGCUAAAUAUAUAUAUGAGAAAUAUUUGAAUUUUGCACACAAAAAAAAUAGUCAUAGACACAUAGAAUGACUCAAACUAAAAAAAGAAAAACACAGCUAUAACGUACCAGUAGAUACCAGUGAAUACUCAGUUGGGAUCACGUGGGUUAUCACAUUUUCUUAGUGUGCGUUUCAAAAUUUCGCGGCACACUUAGGAAGAUCUCGCAGCACACCUGUGUGCCGCGGCACACUGGUUGAGAAUCGCUGAUUUAGCUCAAUAUGUUGACGAAUGUAUGAGAUCGAAGAAAAAUUAAAUUUAACUAUUUAUGUAGGGGUAUAGCAUAGUUUAUAUAUUUAAAUGAUUCACUAAUUAUUUUUAAUAUGUUACAGUAUAUAUAUACAUAUAUAAGAUUUACUAAUUAUUUUAAAUAUGUUCCAGUCUAUAUUUAUAAGAUUUACUAAUUAUUUUAAAUAUGUUACAGUCUAUAUUUAUAAGAUUUACUAAUUAUUUUAAAUAUGUUACAGUCUAUAUUUAUAAGAUUUACUAAUUAUUUUAAAUAUGUUACAGUCUAUAUUUAUAAGAUUUACUAAUUAUUUUAAAUAUGUUACAGUCUAUAAUAUACAUAUAUAAGAUUUACUAAUUACUGUAUACAUGUAUAUGCUAUAGUUUAUAAUUUUAUAUCAAUUGAAAUGAAAUGAAAUGAAAUGGGGUUUAACGUCCUACUGUUCUGCUCCAACUGGGCUAAUGAACACGGACAUACGCCAUACAGUGUGCUAUGAGGGAAAUGUUACAGUAUAUAUAUACAUAUAUAGGAUUUACUAAUUAUUUUAAAUAUGUUACAGUAUAUAUUUAUAAGAUUUACUAAUUAUUUUAAAUAUGUUACAGUAUAUAUUUAUAAGAUUUACUAAUUAUUUUAAAUAUGUUACAGUAUAUAUUUAUAAGAUUUACUAAUUAUUUUAAUUUAAUUAAAAUCCCGAUAAACUUUCUCGGCUAAUGCAGGGAUCGAUAUCAUUUAUUAAUUACUGUAAUGUUAUAGUUUACGUUUAUAUGCCUACUAAUGUUAGAUUUUUAGACUUUUAAAUGUUUACCGCAAAAUUUAUAAUUGUAGCAUGUUGAAACAAAAUUUCAGUUUUAACAAUAACAUAAGAAUAAAAUAUUAAGCUAGA